This is a small nuclear RNA of Phodopus roborovskii (desert hamster), 163 nucleotides long. RefSeq annotates it as U1 spliceosomal RNA. The record is from RefSeq and is a predicted model, not a curated record. The transcript has a single exon. NCBI's taxonomy places the organism in Eukaryota, Metazoa, Chordata, Mammalia, Rodentia, Cricetidae.
AUACUUGCCUGGCAGAGGAGAUACCAUGAUCACCAAGGUGGUUUUGCCGGAGCAAGACUUAAUCCACUACACUCUGGAUAUGCUGAUCCAUGCAAUUUCCCCAAAUUCAGGAAAUUUGGCUUCAUAAUUUGUAGUAGUGGUGUACUGCAUUUGCUCUCUCCUC